CGAAUAUUUUCGUUGUUUCAAAGUAUAAAAGAGUGGUAUUUAACUUCAUCUAGAGCUCUAAGAAUAUAUAUUUGGCAAUCUGUAAUAGAUAAAUAGAUAUAUGAAAAUGAAUACAAAGAGUACCCAAUUUAUUGAAAUUUUGAAAACAAAUCAAGAAGUGGCGGAUUUUAUUCCCAGAAGAUAAGCCAGAUGUACGAAAGCAUUCAGAGCGUAGCAGCCUACAAAUACUUUAUAAUUAGCCUUUUACCUAGGUUACUCUAUAAAAUAUUUGGAACAUAAUAUUCGAGGAAAAUAUUUCACAAAAGGGUUAGCACAGAUGAAUUGAUGUAUAUUUAGAGAAGGGAAUAAUGACCAACCUGUAAUAAAAUACUGCUUUGAGGAUUGUGAAACUCUGGAUCCAUAUGGAAUGCGUCUAGUAGACCAUUGUUCCUGGCCUUUAUUUCUACAGCGUUUGUACGGGUAAUAAGAGAUGGAAUGAAUAUUUUCUCAAAAUGUAAAUACGUAAUAUUAUGUAAUUUAGUUGUAUUAAAUAUUCUUGAAAAGA
Long non-coding RNA from Coccinella septempunctata (seven-spotted ladybird), 544 nucleotides. RefSeq lists it as uncharacterized. The transcript has 2 exons. NCBI's taxonomy places the organism in Eukaryota, Metazoa, Arthropoda, Insecta, Coleoptera, Coccinellidae. The record is from RefSeq and is a predicted model, not a curated record.